This 472-nucleotide ribosomal RNA is filed under the name Streptococcus constellatus. Its description in RNAcentral is "bacterial SSU rRNA". It matches the Rfam family "Bacterial small subunit ribosomal RNA", at positions 28 to 474 of the family's 1533-position model. Lineage: Bacteria; Bacillati; Bacillota; Bacilli; Lactobacillales; Streptococcaceae. The record is from RNAcentral.
GACGAACGCUGGCGGCGUGCCUAAUACAUGCAAGUAGAACGCACAGGAUGCACCGUAGUUUACUACACCGUAUCCUGUGAGUUGCGAACGGGUGAGUAACGCGUAGGUAACCUGCCUGGUAGCGGGGGAUAACUAUUGGAAACGAUAGCUAAUACCGCAUAAGAACAUUUACUGCAUGGUAGAUGUUUAAAAGGUGCAAGAGCAUCACUACCAGAUGGACCUGCGUUGUAUUAGCUAGUUGGUGAGGUAACGGCUCACCAAGGCAACGAUACAUAGCCGACCUGAGAGGGUGAUCGGCCACACUGGGACUGAGACACGGCCCAGACUCCUACGGGAGGCAGCAGUAGGGAAUCUUCGGCAAUGGGGGGAACCCUGACCGAGCAACGCCGCGUGAGUGAAGAAGGUUUUCGGAUCGUAAAGCUCUGUUGUAAGAGAAGAACGAGUGUGAGAGUGGAAAGUUCACACUGUGACG